AUGAUCUUUUCAUUGCUUGGAUCAUCAGUAAGGUGGCACAACAUCUUAGAUUCCAGCUCCACAUUCUCAUUGCCUGUUGGAAGGAAACACCAUUCUUGGAAGCCAGCCAAUGCCUUUCUUCUUUUAAACAGGCAAUCAAAGGAACCUACAGAAAGCUAUUUGAGAGAAGAAACACAAAGAUCCAAAAAUCUGCCUGAGCAUUGUUUCUACAGGAAGACUGACCUGCAAGAAGAUCGCAGUGAGUAAUUUUAAAGUAUCUAUUUCCAUUGAGAUGGACUGAUUUUGGGCAGCUUGGGUGGCAUGGAGACUACAUGAACCCUAGAAUUUUGAAAAGACAAAUUAAAAGAAUUGACUUCCAGUUUCAUGCCUCCCUUACAAAAAAGCCCUUUGGGGACAAAGGAAGACACCGAUGGAUUCACCUUAAUUUUGAAAAGAAUGACUGAUACUGGGGGUUCUAGGAGCAGACAUUCUGAUUAUAAUGCAUUUUUGGGGUGUUGGAGGUGAUGAUGCUGGUCUGGGAAGGUUCCUUGGAGCAAAAAUACACCUCUCACACCUUUCUACCUUAUUAAUGGUUGAUCACCUAUUUGUAUAAAAGUUAAAGUUUGGACAACAAAGCAAUGCUGGAGCAGCUGUGUUGACCAUUAAACAAAAUCCAAAAUACACUAUGAUGAUACUUUCAUUCGGUUGACCAGAAGGUUAAAAAACAAGUAAAACACCAUUAUGCUAGCUUUCUAAACUCACUGGUUCCAAAGUGUUGUUGAAGGCUUUCAUGGGAUCACAGGGUUGUUGUGUGUUUUCUGGGCUGUGUGGCCAUGUUCUCUCCUGAUGUUUCUCCCACAUCUAUGGCAGGCAUCCUUAUAGGUUAUGUGGUCCAAAGAUUUUUUAAAAAAUUGUGCAGAGCAGAGAGUAUCAUGGUGGAGGCAAAAAGUAUGUAUGUCUCCAUUUUAAGACGAAGACAUUCACACACCACUUCCACUAAAAUGUAGAAGCAACAGGACCAAAUGCUGAAAAGGAAUGAAGUCAUUUCUUGUUAAUCAUGGCAUCAUUAGUGGGGAAAUGCAACAGUUCCAAGGAACUACUUACUUCAAAGCUUUGUCAGUGGAAUACGUUACACUGAAUUAGCCUGAGGUAUAUGCAGUGAGCAGCAUCAUAAUUUCACAGCAUUUGCUGCCUUCAUGUAUGAGUUAAAAGGACACACCCAAUACAGCAUCAUUGAGAGAAGUAUGUAACCGUCAACAGAUUUCCAGCUUAUACAAACCGCCUCCAUUUGAAUCAACAAGAGUGCAGUGUGCACUCUUGUCGGUUCAACCGUUCACAUCAUAACUUUAUGCAUGCUCUGUUCUAUUUACAAAAUAUGCACUCUGACCUGAUAUCACACAAGGCCGUUUGAAGCAAUUAAACAGGGUGGAGGGGUGCGGGCAACUCCAAUACCACAAAAGAAUUACAGGCACAGGAUAAAAGUGGGAACUGUUUUGGCAGAUACAAACACAGAGUCUACCAUGCUAAAUCAUCAGCCAAAAAGGAAUCACUUAAACAAUUGGUGAAAAAGGCAUCAAGUUGCUUCUAUUACAUUUUCAGUGCCAGAAAGGGGGUGUGGAACUUGUGGAAUUUUCUGCAUUGUGUGCCAAAAUAAACUGGCAAGUUUCAGAUACUAUGCACCUAUGCAUACUAUGCACCUUUGACCUGACUAAACACUGUUUGCUAUAGCAAACAACUAAACGCCUUGAACCAGCCUUGUAAAAUAACCUGGGUUCAUUCACACUACAUAGCUAGAGUACUAUUAUUUCAUGCUGCAACUGUCCUGGUUCCAUCCUAUGGAAUAUUGAGACUGCUAGUUUGCUGAAGCACUAGCAUUCUGACUGAGAAUCUUAAAUGCUUACCCCAAACUGCAAAUCCCAUGGUAGGCCAUGUAGAAUAAUAGUGCUAUGAUUCAUUAGUGUAAAUGAUGCCCAGAAUUCAUCUACAUGGUUCAAUGCUAUGGAAUCAUGGGAGUUGUAGUUUGGUGAGGCACCAACACACUUGGAGAAGGCUAAAGACCUUGGAAAACAACAACUCCUAGGAUUAAGCUGUGGUAGAUGAAGUGGUGUCAAACAGCAUUAAUUCUACAUCUUAUAUGUAUCCUAGGCCAGAUCUAGGGUACCGUUAAACUUGAAAGCCCAUAAACUUUCCCACCCCAGGCAGCAAAUUAGGACCAUCACAAUUUUCCCAUAGUUACCACCAACUAGACUUUCUCACUCAUUCAUUUCUUGAAUAAUUCAUGGCCUAGCGAUGGCACACACAGCAAACCACUUAAGUAGACUUAUACAAGAGUUUAUAUUCCCUCAAGUAUCCUUUACCCAAAACAUUCCUUUAAAGGUUUGUGGGACAUUCCCAUCACUUUGAAUUCUGCCCAGAAACAAGCUGGCAACUCUUCAGACUGUUGUAACAAUAAUAAUAAUAAUAAUAAUAAUAAUAAAACUUUAUUUAUACCCCGCCACCAUCUCCCCAAUGGGGACUCGGGGCGGCUAACAUGGGGCCAUGCCCAGAGCAAUACAACAUAAUAAAAUAUAAGAACAACAUAUCAUAACACCAUUUAAAAUACAAUAAAUAAUAAUAAACAGAACAUCAAGAAAUCAAGAAAAAAACAAAAACAAAAAAACUAUAAAUCAAGGGCAGGCCACUUGAACACAAAGAUAAAACCCGGAGUGAGAGGGACAGAGAAGUACUCCACUAUGGGCAGGGACAUUUGGAAGGGGUAAUCUGGAGGAUAGAAGUUCGGAGGGGAGUAAUACGGAGAUAUAUGACAGACAUUACUCACCGAAAGCACAAUGGAAGAGCCAUGUUUUUAAUUCUCUCCUAAAAGCUAACAGAGUGGGAGCUUGCCUUAUUUCAGUGGGAAGUGAGUUCCACAAUCGGGGGGCCACAGCAGAGAAGGCCCUCUCCCUUGUACUUACAAGGCGAGCCUGGGAUAUAGGCAAUGGUGAUAACAGGGCCUCUCCGGAUGAUCGCAAGGAACGGGCAGGUUUAUGGAAGGAGAUACGAUCACGGAGGUAGGUGGGUCCCAAACCGUUCAGGGCUUUAUAGAUGAUGGUCUGCACCUUGAAUUGGGACCGGAAGAUGAACGGCAGCCAGUGGAGCUCCUUAAACAAGGGAGUGGAUCUCUCCCUGUAAUUUGCCCCCGUUAUUAAUCUGGCUGCCGAGCGUUGGACCAGUUGUAAUUUCCGGGCCGUCUUCAAGGGAAGCCCCACGUAGAGUGCAUUACAGUAGUCCAGUCUGGAGGUAACUAGGGCAUGGACCACCGUGGUCAAAUCAGACUUCACGAGGUAUGGUCGCAGUUGGCGCACAAGUUUAAGUUGUGCGAAGGCCCUCCCGGCCACCGCCGACACCUGGAA
This 3371-nucleotide long non-coding RNA is filed under the name Anolis carolinensis (green anole). Its description in RNAcentral is "lncRNA (ENSACAG00000039961.1)". The record is from RNAcentral. Lineage: Eukaryota; Metazoa; Chordata; Lepidosauria; Squamata; Anolidae.